This 253-nucleotide ribosomal RNA is filed under the name uncultured bacterium. Its description in RNAcentral is "partial 16S ribosomal RNA". It matches the Rfam family "Bacterial small subunit ribosomal RNA", at positions 524 to 776 of the family's 1533-position model. The record is from RNAcentral.
UACGUAGGUGGCAAGCGUUGUCCGGAAUUAUUGGGCGUAAAGCGCGCGCAGGCGGCCUUUUAAGUCUGAUGUGAAAGCCCACGGCUCAACCGUGGAAGGUCAUUGGAAACUGAAAGGCUUGAGUACAGAAGAGGAAAGCGGAAUUCCACGUGUAGCGGUGAAAUGCGUAGAUAUCGCCUGGAACGCCGAUGGUGAAAACAGUCUGCUGGGGGUGUGCCGACGCUGAGACACGAAAGCCAGGGGAGCGAACGGG